RNAcentral lists this ribosomal RNA (468 nucleotides) under uncultured bacterium. Its description in RNAcentral is "partial 16S ribosomal RNA". It matches the Rfam family "Bacterial small subunit ribosomal RNA", at positions 28 to 507 of the family's 1533-position model. The record is from RNAcentral.
GACGAACGCUGGCGGCGUGCUUAACACAUGCAAGUCGAACGGAAAGGCCCUGCUUUUGUGGGGUGCUCGAGUGGCGAACGGGUGAGUAACACGUGAGUAACCUGCCCUUGACUUUGGGAUAACUUCAGGAAACUGGGGCUAAUACCGGAUAGGAGCUCCUGCUGCAUGGUGGGGGGUGGAAAGUUUCGGCGGUUGGGGCUGGACUCGCCGCUUAUCAGCUUGUUGGUGGGGUAGUGGCUUACCAAGGCUUUGACGGGUAGCCGGCCUGAGAGGGUGCCCGGCAACAUUGGGACUGAGAUACGGCCCGGCCUCCUCCGGGAGGCAGCGGUGGGGAAUAUUGCACAAUGGGCGGAAGCCUGUUGCAGCACCGCCGCGUGCGGGAUGACGGCCUUCGGGUUGUAACCCGCUUUCGCCUGUGACGAAGCGUGAGUGACGGUAAUGGGUAAAGAAGCACCGGCUAACUACGUG